RNAcentral lists this ribosomal RNA (649 nucleotides) under Tricholoma davisiae. RNAcentral describes it as "eukaryotic LSU rRNA". The stretch from base 234 to 387 matches the Rfam family "5.8S ribosomal RNA". The record is from RNAcentral. Lineage: Eukaryota; Fungi; Basidiomycota; Agaricomycetes; Agaricales; Tricholomataceae.
UAAGCUUGGUUGGGUUUGUUGCUGGCUCUUCGGGGCAUGUGCACGCCUAACACCAACUUCUUACCACCUGUGCACCUUUUGUAGACCUGGAUACCUCUCGAGGAAACUCGGUUUUUGAGGACUGCUGUGCGCAAGCNAAGCUUUCCUUUCACUUCCGGUCUAUGUUUUUAUAUAUACCACAUUAUGUUUAAGAAUGUUAUCUUAGGGCUUCAAUUGCCCUCAAAACCUUAUACAACUUUCAACAACGGAUCUCUUGGCUCUCGCAUCGAUGAAGAACGCAGCGAAAUGCGAUAAGUAAUGUGAAUUGCAGAAUUCAGUGAAUCAUCGAAUCUUUGAACGCACCUUGCGCUCCUUGGUAUUCCGAGGAGCAUGCCUGUUUGAGUGUCAUSAAAUUAUCAACCUUUUAUCAGCUUGUCUGAUUUUAUUAGGCUUGGAUGUGGGAGUUUGCGGGCUUCUCAAGAAGUCGGCUCUCCUUAAAUAUAUUAGCGAGAGGACCCUUGUUGCCUAGCUUUGGUGUGAUAAUUAUCUACGCUAUUGCCUUUAUACAAUGGGUCACGGCUUCUAAUCGAGUCUUCUUCUCGGGGAGGACAAUUUCUGACCAAUUUGACCUCAAAUCAGGUAGGACUACCCGCUGAACUUAAGCAUAUCA